GUGGGGAAUAUUGGACAAUGGGGGGAACCCUGAUCCAGCCAUGCCGCGUGUGUGAAGAAGGCCUUUUGGUUGUAAAGCACUUUAAGCGAGGAGGAGGCUACCGAGAUUAAUACUCUUGGAUAGUGGACGUUACUCGCAGAAUAAGCACCGGCUAACUCUGUGCCAGCAGCCGCGGUAAUACAGAGGGUGCAAGCGUUAAUCGGAUUUACUGGGCGUAAAGCGCGCGUAGGUGGCCAAUUAAGUCAAAUGUGAAAUCCCCGAGCUUAACUUGGGAAUUGCAUUCGAUACUGGUUGGCUAGAGUAUGGGAGAGGAUGGUAGAAUUCCAGGUGUAGCGGUGAAAUGCGUAGAGAUCUGGAGGAAUACCGAUGGCGAAGGCAGCCAUCUGGCCUAAUACUGACACUGAGGUGCGAAAGCAUGGGGAGCAAACAGGAUUAGAAACCCUGGUUCC
RNAcentral lists this ribosomal RNA (449 nucleotides) under uncultured bacterium. RNAcentral describes it as "partial 16S ribosomal RNA". It matches the Rfam family "Bacterial small subunit ribosomal RNA", at positions 354 to 794 of the family's 1533-position model. The record is from RNAcentral.